CGCACAUUGCACUCGAUAGUAUUCUGUCGAGUAUGCCUGUUCGAGCGUCAUUUCAAACCUCAAGCAUUGCUUGGUAUUGAGCGUCUGCACUAUGUGUAUGAAUGUGCACAUGGCAGAUCUCGAAAAUCAUUGGCGAGUUUACACUAAACCGAGCACAGUAAUACGCUAGCUUUGGGAUUGUGUGAGCUUCCGCCAUUAAACUGGCAUCUGCCCAAGUUUUUGACCUCGGAUCAGGUAGGAAUACCCGCUGAACUUAA
Molecule: unclassified non-coding RNA, 257 nt
Filed under: Pleosporaceae sp.
Lineage: Eukaryota; Fungi; Ascomycota; Dothideomycetes; Pleosporales; Pleosporaceae
Description: partial contains 5.8S ribosomal RNA, internal transcribed spacer 2, and large subunit ribosomal RNA
Source: RNAcentral